GAUAGCCAAUAUACACUCAUGAGAAGAAUAUGCAAGCUAAUAGACACUAGUGGCACAUGGAAUAAUUCAUCUGACCGCUGACUUGCCUGCCCUUAUUGAUCUAGAAGAGUUCUUGACGGGAUGAGAAUUACUUCAUUAGUUGGUCUGUAAGAAAUUCAGGCUUUGUCAUCUUGAAGAAUGGUGCAAGAUCCCGCAUCACACAGUUCAGGACAUGUAUGAAAACAUUCUGAGAAGGCUGCAUCCUCUCCUGGUCCAGCAUGGCUCCGGCAUGGCGUUCGACUUCACCAGCUUUCUAGCCGCCACCCUUCCCCUGGUCCUGUAUUCCAGUUUCCCAGCACAACUCAACACUUUUGUCUUGAACGCACCACUUACUAUCCAGUCACCAAUGACAUACAACUGAUCCACAUUUUCCAUCACUACUAGUGUAUAUCUGCUCCCUCUGCGCCCUGGCCCUUAUGCGUUAUUGUGUUUCUUGGUUUGUGUGUUGUUUAUAUGCUGUUUUGGCACUACCUUUAUUCAGGGCAUUGUCCUGUAGUUUCUUUUGUGUAAUCCUAUUUGUAUGAGAACAUUCUCCUUGUUAUCUGAACUUGCUGUUUGCGAUUGUUUGUGCGGCUACAUAAAUAAAACCCCUACAACCGUGCUCGUUCCUUUCCCCACACGACAGACAUGAACCAAACCUAGAGUAUUGUUGUUAGUAUGACAACCAAUGCAAUCUCAGCCAUGCUGUAUUGGUGCCGUGGAAAUCCUGGUCGAUUUUUCUCAACUCUACGUACCCACAAUCCACACACUAACCCUAACCCUAAGCCU
Molecule: long non-coding RNA, 807 nt
Organism: Esox lucius (northern pike)
Lineage: Eukaryota; Metazoa; Chordata; Actinopteri; Esociformes; Esocidae
Exons: 3
Source: RefSeq, a predicted model, not a curated record